Molecule: ribosomal RNA, 468 nt
Filed under: uncultured bacterium
Lineage: Bacteria
Description: partial 16S ribosomal RNA
Rfam family: Bacterial small subunit ribosomal RNA
Source: RNAcentral
GACGAACGCUGGCGGCGUGCUUAACACAUGCAAGUCGAACGGAAAGGCCCUGCUUUUGUGGGGUGCUCGAGUGGCGAAAGGGUGAGUAACACGUGAGUAACCUGCCCUUGACUUUGGGAUAACUUCAGGAAACUGGGGCUAAUACCGGAUAGGAGCUCCUGCUGCAUGGUGGGGGUUGGAAAGUUUCGGCGGUUGGGGAUGGACUCGCGGCUUAUCCGCUUGUUGGUGGGGUAGUGGAUUACCAAGGCUUUGACGGGUAGCCGGCCUGAGAGGGUGACCGGCCACAUUGGGACUGAGAUACGGCCCAGACUCCUACGGGAGGCAGCAGUGGGGAAUAUUGCACAAUGGGCGGAAGCCUGAUGCAGCAACGCCGCGUGCGGGAUGACGGCCUUCGGGUUGUAGACCGCUUUCGCCUGUGACGAAGCGUGAGUGACGGUAAUGGGUAAAGAAGCACCAGCUAACUACGUG